GAUGAACGCUAGCUACAGGCUUAACACAUGCAAGUCGCGGGGCGGCAUGGGGGUUGCUUGCAAUCCCCGAUGGCGACCGGCGCACGGGUGAGUAACGCGUAUCCAACCUGCCCUUCACCACGGGAUAACCCGGCGAAAGUCGGACUAAUACCGUAUGUUGUCCAUUGACGGCAUCCGAUUUGGACGAAAGGUUUGGCGGUGAAGGAUGGGGAUGCGUCCGAUUAGCUGGACGGCGGGGUGACGGCCCACCGUGGCGACGAUCGGUAGGGGUUCUGAGAGGAAGGUCCCCCACACUGGAACUGAGACACGGUCCAGACUCCUACGGGAGGCAGCAGUGAGGAAUAUUGGUCAAUGGGCGUAAGCCUGAACCAGCCAAGUAGCGUGCAGGAUGACGGCCCUAUGGGUUGUAAACUGCUUUUAUGCGGGGAUAAAGUGGCCCACGUGUGGGUUUUUGCAGGUACCGCAUGAAUAAGGACCGGCUAAUUCCGUG
This 490-nucleotide ribosomal RNA is filed under the name uncultured bacterium. RNAcentral describes it as "partial 16S ribosomal RNA". It matches the Rfam family "Bacterial small subunit ribosomal RNA", at positions 28 to 507 of the family's 1533-position model. The record is from RNAcentral.